Long non-coding RNA from Salvia splendens (bonfire salvia), 1020 nucleotides. RefSeq lists it as uncharacterized. The record is from RefSeq and is a predicted model, not a curated record. NCBI's taxonomy places the organism in Eukaryota, Viridiplantae, Streptophyta, Magnoliopsida, Lamiales, Lamiaceae. The transcript is spliced from 3 exons.
UAUCGUCCACUCCUUUCUCCCUCACUCACACACGGUUUGUCUCCUCCAUCACUCUCCCCUCUCCAAAAACCUUCCAUUCAAGCUUUGAUCUUGCUUCCGUUGAAGUUAUCUUCGAGAAACUCCGACGAAUCGCUCCAUUCCACGUUUCUACCGUUUUCGUUUUGUCAAAAGGAAGGUGCGGAGAUGAUCUUCUUGAAGCCUUCACUUGAAAUUUCUGUUAUGUUCUUCGGCUUAGCGACCUCCUCCGUCUGGUUAUUUCCUUCAUAAUGCUCACUUUUAUCACCAAAUUUCCUUCGCCAGACAAUUGUCUUCCUUUCUUCCUUGGCCUGGCGAUAUCUACUACACACCUGGCUCAAAAAGGUGGAUGAGUUCAAUGAGGAAAUCAUUUGUGAUACAUACAAGGUGGAUGAGGCUGACAGAGAAGUUGAGGAGGAGCCGAGGGAGAAUAAAGAAGAAGAAAGAGAAGGUUUAGUAGAUGUUCAGCUCUCACUACGUGUGGUAGGCAAACAUGGCCCUUAGAUCAUGAGGAUAUAGGAGCAUGCCAGAAGGACAAUAACUAUCAACAUUACAGCAAUGUACUCCGAAGUGUGGUGACUCCAAUUGUCUAUAUCAUUAAUUUGGAAACUUAUGAACUUAUCUUGGAAGGAUAAUAACUAUCCACAUUGGGAAAGAUUAAAUGGAAUUUUAACAAAUUGAGCAUGGUGUCUGAAAUAGGAGGAGUGGAGUUGAAGCUACAGGGUGAGAAUUGCCGGCUAAAACUAAGCAGUUGCAUGCUUAAACAUCUUAAAUCAAUAUGGUGUAGAUGAAAAUGAGAUGAAGUCGAGUCUACUGAUGCCUAAAGUGGAGGAGGAUUUUGGGAGUUGUUGUAGAAUGCUUACAGAGAAAAUAUGACCUGAACUUAAUUACAUUCUAACAGCUUAUGCUGGACUUUUUGAAGAGCCAAAUGACUGUUAGGGUUUAUAUACAAGAAAUCACCUUUCGAGUGAUUGAAUACUGUAAAACUCUAAUAAUUAUUUUCCA